This 449-nucleotide ribosomal RNA is filed under the name uncultured bacterium. RNAcentral's name for it is "bacterial SSU rRNA". It matches the Rfam family "Bacterial small subunit ribosomal RNA", at positions 328 to 793 of the family's 1533-position model. The record is from RNAcentral.
UCAGUCGACUCCUACGGGAGGCAGCAGUAGGGAAUCUUAGACAAUGGGCGCAAGCCUGAUCUAGCGAUGCCGCGUGUGUGACGAAGGCCUUAGGGUCGUAAAGCACUUUCGCCAGGGAUGAUAAUGACAGUACCUGGUAAAGAAGUACCCGGCUAACUCCGUGCCAGCAGCCGCGGUAAUACGGAGGGGACUAGCGUUGUUCGGAAUUACUGGGCGUAAAGCGCGCGUAGGCGGAUUAGUUAGUCAGAGGUGAAAUCCCAGGGCUCAACCCUGGAACUGCCUUUGAUACUGCUAGUCUUGAGUUCGAGAGAGGUGAGUGGAAUUCCGAGUGUAGAGGUGAAAUUCGUAGAUAUUCGGAGGAACACCAGUGGCGAAGGCGGCUCACUGGCUCGAUACUGACGCUGAGGUGCGAAAGUGUGGGGAGCAAACAGGAUUAGAUACCCUGGUAG